GGAGUCGUAAAUAAAUCAAUUCUUUUAAAAAAAAAUCCUUACUUUCAUAGCCAAUCAAUUUGUUCAAUGGCAUCCAUGAACAUUUUAUGCAUACCAUCAUUCAAAAUAAUUCUUGGUUUUUUCUCCACCGAAGAAUAAUCUCUAGUAUAUCAUCUUGUUCUUUCCUUUUUUGUAUAUUAGUCAUCCAACUUUCCUCAUCACUAGAGGAUGUACCAGCCACAUACUCAGAAAUUAGCCAUCUUUGUAAACUGUCCACUAGUUCAGUUCCCUCUAUUUCCAUUAAAGAGUUUACAUUACUGCAUUAUAUCAAAAAAAAAACAUUAGUAACAUGUUUUGGAUGAACAAAUAUUUGUGUAAAUUUUGAGAAACAUGGAAUUGAUGCAGAAAACAGCAAGUAUAAAUUAAAGAUCAAGAAGUAGACAAUAAAAAAAUGAUAUAUAUAGUAUAGUUUGACAAAAGUAAUUUACCUCUGAGAUCAGCAACAUUAUUUCUAUUUCCUAGUAAUGAAAUGCCAUGAACAUCGACCAUAUCCUGUAAAAUAGGAGUAUAAAAUUUGUGGCUGUAGAUAAACACAUUGACUUACAUAAAAAAAAUUAUAUAAAUUUAAUAAAGGUAAUUAAAGGGACAAAAAAUAUGAUGUUGGUGUAUCUUAUUACCUCUAAAUUUACAAAUUUCAUAUACAUUUUGCAAGUAAGAGCACAAAUAAGACUGACAUGAUAUAUAUAUGGGUUAUAUGUAUAUACACAGCUGUGUAUUACACAGUAGGGCUAUGGCGACAGAUUUUUUGGGCUAUAGCGACGGUAAAUUGUCACCAUAGCCCAGAAUAGUUAUGACGACGGGUGAAACUAUCGCUAUAGCCUAAAAAACCGUCGCCAUAGCCUACUGUGUAAUACACAGCUGUGUACAUACAUUUUUUUCUAUAUAAAUAAAUAAAUAUAUAUAUAUAUAUAUAUAUAUAUAUAUAUUGCCAAAUUAUUAUAGGGUUAAAUACACUUUCCCCACUCUACUCGAUCUCGGUUUACAAAUACAUCACUGAACUGAAUUUUUUUACGGUCAACUCAUUAAAUUACAUAUUAUUUACAAAAAGUGAUAAAACUGUCAAUGUCCGUUAACCAUUUAACAGAAAACUGACGUGGCAAUAUGUGGCAAUAUAUAAUUAAAAUAUGUGGCAGUAUACUUGCAAUUAAAAUAUGUGGCAGUAUACUUACAAUUUUACUUAAAAUUAAAAGAUAUAUUUUUGAAGACAAUUUUAUUUAUAUUAUUUAUAUAAAAAAUAUAAAAAUGUAAAAAUUUUAUAUAAAAAUAUAAAAUAUAAAAUUUAUAUAAAAUAUAAAAUAUAUAAUAUAAAAAUGUAAAAUAUUUUAUAUAUUUUUUAUAUUUGAAAAAAAAAAGUAUAUUUUAUAUUUAUAUUUUUAAAAGAUAUAUUUUUUGUAGAAAGGGUCUUUCCUUUCCUGUUAUAAGAUAUAUUUUUAAAAGAUAUAUUUUUUGUAUAAAAGAUAUAUUUUAUAUACUCAUCUUUUUUCUCUAGCACAACAAUGGAGCUUAAAUUGAAAAAGGUUUUAUUAAAUUACAGAACAUGAAAUCCUCUAUCACAUAUCUAAUUGCAGACCAUUAAUCCAUCCAUAAUCUCCCUCCCUCUCGCACCGCAAUUGCAGACCAUUAAGCCAUCCAUGUAAAUGACAAACCCCUAAUCUCUCUCUCGCACCGCUGUAAUUCCAAAUCCCCAAGUUAAACACAUUUGCCAUGGAUUUCAUGGCCUGACUCACUUCUUCCACUUCGUCCCAUGCUACCAUACACAAGUAUGAUAGCUAGCAGCACACACAGAUCAGCAAAGAAAAUUCAAAAAAUGUAACGGAUUGUAAAAAAAUUGUAGUUCAAUGAGUUAAUUGUAAAAAAAUUCACUUCAGUGAUGCAUUUGUAAAUUGACUCCUAGUAGAGUGGACAAAAGUGUAUUUAACCCAAUUAUUAUACGAUGACAUAAUUCAGGCAAACAUAUUUGUGAGCGUUUAAAAGAGAUUGGAUAGUUUAAAUAUGGACAUUUUUUUUUAAUUUUAUUAAAUCUAGUCUACACAUUUAUCCUAUGUAUGGAGAUCGGACAGUUUUGAUAUGAACAUUUAUUUAUUUUUAAUUUUGUUAAAUCUAGUCUGCACAUUCCUUCUAAAUACGAUCAAAGAUGUGUUCACCUAAAUUGUGUAAUAGCAAGUAGUUAUUAUAAAUCACUUCUAUAUACAACUUACGAAAAAUCCUAAAAUAAUUUAAUACCAUUACUAUUUUGCUUACAAUUAAAUUGCUUGAGUUGAACAAUAAUAUCACUAAUUGUUAAACCAAAAAAUUCAAAAAAUAAAUUAAGCUCUAACAAUUAAAUAUGUAAUUUACAUUAUUUUACAUAAUUACACUAAUAUAAUUUAUUAGAUCAAGUUAAAUCUCAAUCAAUUAAAAAAAAGAUUUGAUUAUAUUAGAUCAACAUCAUUCAAGAAUAUAAAUGAUUGAAUAAGAUCGAAAUCGUCAAACUCAAUUGAAAUAUUUUGUUGGGUAACGAACAAACCUUUAUAUCAGAACACAAACUUGUCAUUUUUAGGGGAAAUUAAAUAAGAACGAAACC
This 2602-nucleotide long non-coding RNA is filed under the name Panax ginseng (ginseng). RNAcentral's name for it is "long non-coding RNA (PGIN_LNC006986)". Lineage: Eukaryota; Viridiplantae; Streptophyta; Magnoliopsida; Apiales; Araliaceae. The record is from RNAcentral.